Molecule: long non-coding RNA, 212 nt
Organism: Ochotona princeps (American pika)
Lineage: Eukaryota; Metazoa; Chordata; Mammalia; Lagomorpha; Ochotonidae
Exons: 2
Source: RefSeq, a predicted model, not a curated record
AGCUGAAGCGGAACAUGCAGCGGGAUCUGGAGACGCCAGAGGGUGGCUCCAUGCCAAUCAGAUGAGCCAGCGGCAGAACUCCAGCUACACCUAAAUGAUGAAGAGCCAAGUUUUCGAAAAUGUCAUGGACAAUGACAGCAGAGUGGCCCAAACAAUGGCAUUUGGAAAUGAAGACAUUUGUGAAAUAAAUGGAUUUAUCUUAUUAUUUUAAA